AUACUUAAGUAGUAAUAGUUAUAGUCUUGAAACUUAAAGAAUUUGGCGGUAUUUUAAUCUUUUCAGAGGAACCUGUCCUAUAAUCGAUAUUCCACGUUAAAUUUUACUAAAUUAUUUGUAUAUCGUUGUCGGAAGAAUAAAAUUUUCUAAUAUUAAAAAUUUAAUAUAUGUCAAAUCAAGGUGCAGUUUAUAAUUUAGAAGAGAUGGGUUACAAUAAAAGUAUUUAGAAUUUUAAUGAAGGUGGAUUUGAAAGUAAAUUAAUUUUAAAAAAUUUAAUUGAUUAUAGUUCUAAAAUAUGU
Molecule: ribosomal RNA, 299 nt
Filed under: Dampfia grahami grahami
Lineage: Eukaryota; Metazoa; Arthropoda; Insecta; Siphonaptera; Ischnopsyllidae
Description: partial 12S ribosomal RNA
Source: RNAcentral